RNAcentral lists this ribosomal RNA (298 nucleotides) under uncultured eukaryote. RNAcentral describes it as "partial 18S ribosomal RNA". It matches the Rfam family "Eukaryotic small subunit ribosomal RNA", at positions 1470 to 1796 of the family's 1831-position model. The record is from RNAcentral.
CCCUUAGACACUCUAGGCGGCACGCGCGCUACAAUGGGUGGAAGAACGUGUUACUGCCUCCGAAAGGAGGGGUGAAUCACGAAUUCUUGCCCGUGAAUGGGAUAGUUUGUUGCAAUUUUCGGACUUGAACUAGGAAUCCCUUGUAAACAUGCUCAAGAAUAGCGUGUUGAAUACGUCCUUGCCGUUUGUACACACCGCCCGUCGUUUCUUCCGACUGAUACUCAUUGUGAGUUGCAAGGACCCUUUAUUGGGAAAUUGCUGCAAAUGCUUUGUAUUGGAGGAAGAAAAAGUCGUAACA